This 253-nucleotide ribosomal RNA is filed under the name uncultured bacterium. RNAcentral describes it as "partial 16S ribosomal RNA". It matches the Rfam family "Bacterial small subunit ribosomal RNA", at positions 524 to 776 of the family's 1533-position model. The record is from RNAcentral.
UACGUAGGGGGCAAGCGUUGUCCGGAUUUAUUGGGCGUAAAGAGCGUGUAGGCGGCCAAGCAGGUCCGCUGUGAAAACUCGAGGCUCAACCUCGAGACGUCGGUGGAAACCGUUUGGCUAGAGUCCGGAAGAGGAGAGUGGAAUUCCUGGUGUAGCGGUGAAAUGCGCAGAUAUCAGGAAGAACACCCGUGGCGAAGGCGGCUCUCUGGGACGGUACUGACGCUGAGACGCGAAAGCGUGGGGAGCGAACAGG